This 495-nucleotide ribosomal RNA is filed under the name uncultured bacterium. Its description in RNAcentral is "partial 16S ribosomal RNA". It matches the Rfam family "Bacterial small subunit ribosomal RNA", at positions 30 to 507 of the family's 1533-position model. The record is from RNAcentral.
UGAACGCUGGCGGCGUGCCUAAUACAUGCAAGUCGAGCGAACGGACGAGAAGCUUGCUUCUCUGAUGUUAGCGGCGGACGGGUGAGUAACGCGUGGAUAACCUACCUAUAAGACUGGGAUAACUUCGGGAAACCGGAGCUAAUACCGGAUAAUAUUUUGAACCGCAUGGUUCAAAAGUGAAAGACGGUCUUGCUGUCACUUAUAGAUGGAUCCGCGCUGCAUUAGCUAGUUGGUAAGGUAACGGCUUACCAAGGCAACGAUGCAUAGCCGACCUGAGAGGGUGAUCGGCCACACUGGAACUGAGACACGGUCCAGACUCCUACGGGAGGCAGCAGUAGGGAAUCUUCCGCAAUGGGCGAAAGCCUGACGGAGCAACGCCGCGUGAGUGAUGAAGGUCUUCGGAUCGUAAAACUCUGUUAUUAGGGAAGAACAUAUGUGUAAGUAACUGUGCACAUCUUGACGGUACCUAAUCAGAAAGCCACGGCUAACUACGUG